CCUACGGGAGGCUGCAGUGGGGAAUAUUGGGCAAUGGAGGCAACUCUGACCCAGCAACGCCGCGUGAAUGAUGAAGGUCUUCGGAUUGUAAAGUUCUUUUCUAUGGGACGAUGAAAGUGACGGUACCUUAGGAAUCAGCCUCGGCCAUCUACGUAACAGCAGCCGCGGUAAUACGUGGGCGGCAAGCGUUAUCCGGAAUGACUGGGCGUAAAGGGUGUGUAGGUGGUUUAACAAGUUGGUAGAGUAACUACGGUGCUCAACUUUGGAACUACUACCAAAACUUUUGGAGUCGAGUGAAGGAGGGGCAACUGGAAUAUCUAGUGUAGAGGUGGAAUGCGUAGAUAUUAGGAAGAACACCGGUGGCGAAGGCGAGUUGCUGGA
Molecule: ribosomal RNA, 381 nt
Filed under: uncultured bacterium
Lineage: Bacteria
Description: partial 16S ribosomal RNA
Rfam family: Bacterial small subunit ribosomal RNA
Source: RNAcentral